AGGUGUUGAGGGCAGCACCUCCUCCGCAUCGUGGCUGCGCACCAGGAACUCGGCUUGGCUGUGACCUGGGGGAUGGGAAAGACAUCUGAGAAGUGGGUUAGGGGAGAAACGUGGCACAGCGGGGGCCUGGCAGGAGAGGACUCAGAUACCAAAUUAGAGGCCCCAACUUGCCCACGAGGAGAGGAGUCCAGAAGAGUGUCUCAGCCAUGGCUGCCCGGCCUGGCCCGCCCGGCCAAGCUGGGUGUCCCCUUAGCCCCUGCGUGCUUUCCUGGGCACAACACAAUCACACAGACUGCUCCAAGCUCCUCGAAGACUAGGAUCUUGUCACGUUUGUGCCAUCCACCCAGCCUUUAUCCCCAGUCCAAGCACUUCAGCGUGGAGGUCUAGCAAGCCCUGGACAGGACCAGCCAGCUAGAGACAGGUGUGGACGUUUAUGCAAUUCUGGAAGGUCUCCUGGUGGGGACCCCUGGGAAAGAGACUAAUAAGAAAGCAUCCAGUUUCUUCGGUCUCUGACGUUGUUGUCUGCACAAGAGAGUUAAGGCAGCCAUCUUGGGACCAUGAGGGAGCCAGUCUAAGAGGCAAAUCAACACAAUGAGAGGGUGUUGGAAAAAGACAAAAAGAACCUGGUCCUUGAUGUCACAGCCAGGCCUCUGAAUUAACCACCCCCAGGACUUCUUGUUACGUGAGCUAAUAAACGUUCCUUUUUGCUUAAACCCCUUCUAGUUGGGCUUUCUGUUGUAACUUGCACCG
This 750-nucleotide long non-coding RNA is filed under the name Homo sapiens (human). RNAcentral describes it as "HSALNT0390562". The record is from RNAcentral. Lineage: Eukaryota; Metazoa; Chordata; Mammalia; Primates; Hominidae.